RNAcentral lists this ribosomal RNA (2237 nucleotides) under Escherichia coli. RNAcentral describes it as "partial 23S ribosomal RNA". It matches the Rfam family "Bacterial large subunit ribosomal RNA", at positions 418 to 2640 of the family's 2925-position model. The record is from RNAcentral. Lineage: Bacteria; Pseudomonadati; Pseudomonadota; Gammaproteobacteria; Enterobacterales; Enterobacteriaceae.
CGGGACACGUGGUAUCCUGUCUGAAUAUGGGGGGACCAUCCUCCAAGGCUAAAUACUCCUGACUGACCGAUAGUGAACCAGUACCGUGAGGGAAAGGCGAAAAGAACCCCGGCGAGGGGAGUGAAAAAGAACCUGAAACCGUGUACGUACAAGCAGUGGGAGCACGCUUAGGCGUGUGACUGCGUACCUUUUGUAUAAUGGGUCAGCGACUUAUAUUCUGUAGCAAGGUUAACCGAAUAGGGGAGCCGAAGGGAAACCGAGUCUUAACUGGGCGUUAAGUUGCAGGGUAUAGACCCGAAACCCGGUGAUCUAGCCAUGGGCAGGUUGAAGGUUGGGUAACACUAACUGGAGGACCGAACCGACUAAUGUUGAAAAAUUAGCGGAUGACUUGUGGCUGGGGGUGAAAGGCCAAUCAAACCGGGAGAUAGCUGGUUCUCCCCGAAAGCUAUUUAGGUAGCGCCUCGUGAAUUCAUCUCCGGGGGUAGAGCACUGUUUCGGCAAGGGGGUCAUCCCGACUUACCAACCCGAUGCAAACUGCGAAUACCGGAGAAUGUUAUCACGGGAGACACACGGCGGGUGCUAACGUCCGUCGUGAAGAGGGAAACAACCCAGACCGCCAGCUAAGGUCCCAAAGUCAUGGUUAAGUGGGAAACGAUGUGGGAAGGCCCAGACAGCCAGGAUGUUGGCUUAGAAGCAGCCAUCAUUUAAAGAAAGCGUAAUAGCUCACUGGUCGAGUCGGCCUGCGCGGAAGAUGUAACGGGGCUAAACCAUGCACCGAAGCUGCGGCAGCGACGCUGAUGCGUUGUUGGGUAGGGGAGCGUUCUGUAAGCCUGUGAAGGUGUGCUGUGAGGCAUGCUGGAGGUAUCAGAAGUGCGAAUGCUGACAUAAGUAACGAUAAAGCGGGUGAAAAGCCCGCUCGCCGGAAGACCAAGGGUUCCUGUCCAACGUUAAUCGGGGCAGGGUGAGUCGACCCCUAAGGCGAGGCCGAAAGGCGUAGUCGAUGGGAAACAGGUUAAUAUUCCUGUACUUGGUGUUACUGCGAAGGGGGGACGGAGAAGGCUAUGUUGGCCGGGCGACGGUUGUCCCGGUUUAAGCGUGUAGGCUGGUUUUCCAGGCAAAUCCGGAAAAUCAAGGCUGAGGCGUGAUGACGAGGCACUACGGUGCUGAAGCAACAAAUGCCCUGCUUCCAGGAAAAGCCUCUAAGCAUCAGGUAACAUCAAAUCGUACCCCAAACCGACACAGGUGGUCAGGUAGAGAAUACCAAGGCGCUUGAGAGAACUCGGGUGAAGGAACUAGGCAAAAUGGUGCCGUAACUUCGGGAGAAGGCACGCUGAUAUGUAGGUGAAGCGACUUGCUCGUGGAGCUGAAAUCAGUCGAAGAUACCAGCUGGCUGCAACUGUUUAUUAAAAACACAGCACUGUGCAAACACGAAAGUGGACGUAUACGGUGUGACGCCUGCCCGGUGCCGGAAGGUUAAUUGAUGGGGUCAGCGCAAGCGAAGCUCUUGAUCGAAGCCCCGGUAAACGGCGGCCGUAACUAUAACGGUCCUAAGGUAGCGAAAUUCCUUGUCGGGUAAGUUCCGACCUGCACGAAUGGCGUAAUGAUGGCCAGGCUGUCUCCACCCGAGACUCAGUGAAAUUGAACUCGCUGUGAAGAUGCAGUGUACCCGCGGCAAGACGGAAAGACCCCGUGAACCUUUACUAUAGCUUGACACUGAACAUUGAGCCUUGAUGUGUAGGAUAGGUGGGAGGCUUUGAAGUGUGGACGCCAGUCUGCAUGGAGCCGACCUUGAAAUACCACCCUUUAAUGUUUGAUGUUCUAACGUUGACCCGUAAUCCGGGUUGCGGACAGUGUCUGGUGGGUAGUUUGACUGGGGCGGUCUCCUCCUAAAGAGUAACGGAGGAGCACGAAGGUUGGCUAAUCCUGGUCGGACAUCAGGAGGUUAGUGCAAUGGCAUAAGCCAGCUUGACUGCGAGCGUGACGGCGCGAGCAGGUGCGAAAGCAGGUCAUAGUGAUCCGGUGGUUCUGAAUGGAAGGGCCAUCGCUCAACGGAUAAAAGGUACUCCGGGGAUAACAGGCUGAUACCGCCCAAGAGUUCAUAUCGACGGCGGUGUUUGGCACCUCGAUGUCGGCUCAUCACAUCCUGGGGCUGAAGUAGGUCCCAAGGGUAUGGCUGUUCGCCAUUUAAAGUGGUACGCGAGCUGGGUUUAGAACGUCGUGAGACAGUUCGGUCCCUA